This 667-nucleotide ribosomal RNA is filed under the name uncultured Dolichospermum sp. RNAcentral's name for it is "bacterial SSU rRNA". It matches the Rfam family "Bacterial small subunit ribosomal RNA", at positions 99 to 799 of the family's 1533-position model. Lineage: Bacteria; Bacillati; Cyanobacteriota; Cyanophyceae; Nostocales; Aphanizomenonaceae. The record is from RNAcentral.
CGGACGGGUGAGUAACGCGUAAGAAUCUACCUUCAGGUUCGGGACAACCACUGGAAACGGUGGCUAAUACCGGAUGUGCCGAGAGGUGAAAGGCUUGCUGCCUGGGGAAGAGCUUGCGUCUGAUUAGCUAGUUGGUAGUGUAAGGGACUACCAAGGCGACGAUCAGUAGCUGGUCUGAGAGGAUGAUCAGCCACACUGGGACUGAGACACGGCCCAGACUCCUACGGGAGGCAGCAGUGGGGAAUUUUCCGCAAUGGGCGAAAGCCUGACGGAGCAAUACCGCGUGAGGGAGGAAGGCUCUUGGGUUGUAAACCUCUUUUCUCAGGGAAGAAAAAAAUGACGGUACCUGAGGAAUAAGCAUCGGCUAACUCCGUGCCAGCAGCCGCGGUAAUACGGAGGAUGCAAGCGUUAUCCGGAAUGAUUGGGCGUAAAGGGUCCGCAGGUGGCAUUGUAAGUCUGCUGUUAAAGAGUUUGGCUCAACCAAAUAAAAGCAGUGGAAACUACAAAGCUAGAGUUUGGUCGGGGCAGAGGGAAUUCCUGGUGUAGCGGUGAAAUGCGUAGAUAUCAGGAAGAACACCAGUGGCGAAGGCGCUCUGCUAGGCCGAGACUGACACUGAGGGACGAAAGCUAGGGGAGCGAAUGGGAUUAGAUACCCCAGUAGUCCUAG